UUCCAGCCUUUCUCUUCNGCCGCCGCCGGGGAAGCGCAGCUCGGACAGGGCGCUGUCGUUGGCCAGCAGCGGCAGCAGCGGAUUGGCGCUGGCGCAGGCGCCGCCGCUGCGGGCGCAGAACUGCUCGUAGUCGAGUUCGCGCACCGCGCCGUGCAGCAGCAGCACUUCGUCCCGCGCCGGCCGGUCGAGCACCGAGGCGCUGUCCCUCUCCGCCACGGCGAUGAGCGCGGCGUAGGCGCCCUCCGUGGGCAGCCGCUCGGCAGAGAAGCGCUCCGAAUCGUUGGUGGGGAAGUACCGCCGCACGAAGUCGCGCUCGGCCUUGGCGGGCCCGCCCGUCGGCGUGAACUGGCCCUCGAUGUCGUUCGUCUGCAAGCCCGGCAGGAAGACGAAGCCGGCGCCCAGCCCGGCCGACAGCAGCAGCGGCAGCAGCACGAAGGGCCAGGGGCAGGCGGCCACGACGCGCCCCAGCGCUUCGAAGAGCCGCGUCAGGGGCCGCUCCACGCAGUUGGUGUUGCUGCAGGAGCAGCGCUCCCGGGGGAACCGCGGCUGCCCCAUGGCCGAGGCGGCGGCAGCUCGUCCCCGCAGGCGCACCUCACGCCGGAUCUCGGCCUUUCGCCACGCGGGAGGAGAACCGCCGUUCCCUGCCGCGUAGCGGAGGCACUGAGCGCUCCUCAGCCGCGCCGCUGCAGGCCGUCCCCUUGCCGGCUAGUGGCCGCGCCCUCCGCCCUUCCCGCUCUCUCACCGCUCUCUCCGGCGCACCCUCAGGCACGCAGGUGGGGCCGCGGGGCUGCCCGUUCCGCGCCCGGGGUCGGGUGUCGGAUGGGUGCCCCGCUGCCAGGCACGGCCGUGGCUGAGGAGGGGCGGUCCGCCCGUGGCCUCUCGCAGCGCGUGGCGAUGGCGCCUCGAAGCAUAACGCUUCUCCGAGCCAAAAGCAGUGCGUGGCUUUCGGUGCAAGUGAGGAGCCGAACAAACUCACUGAGGGGGCUGAGGAGUGUAGGGUGUGCACAGGGGAAGAAUAACGAGCGGAGGACGUGGGAAGAGCAGCAAAUUGGGCUGGCAUGGUUGGCUCCGAAGAACUUAUGUGUAGCUCAUGGCUGGGAGUCCAGGUUGCUAUGGCUGAGCGCUGUAAAAAAGUUGGGGUUUGAUUUUUACGGUUAUAGGAGUAGUCUGGAAAUGUAA
Molecule: long non-coding RNA, 1179 nt
Filed under: Pavo cristatus (Indian peafowl)
Lineage: Eukaryota; Metazoa; Chordata; Aves; Galliformes; Phasianidae
Description: lncRNA (ENSPSTG00000012592.1)
Source: RNAcentral